Molecule: ribosomal RNA, 326 nt
Filed under: uncultured bacterium
Lineage: Bacteria
Description: bacterial SSU rRNA
Rfam family: Bacterial small subunit ribosomal RNA
Source: RNAcentral
GAUGAACGCUGGCGGCGUGCUUAACACAUGCAAGUCGAACGAAGCGGCUGCAGGGAUUCCCUUCGGGGAGGAACAGUAGCUGUCUGAGUGGCGGACGGGUGAGUAACGCGUGGGCAACCUGCCCCAUACCGGGGGAUAACAGCCGGAAACGGCUGCUAAUACCGCAUACGCCCAGGAGGCUGCAUAGCUUCCUGGGGAAAACUCCGGUGGUAUGGGAUGGGCCCGCGUCUGAUUAGCUCGUUGGCGGGGUAACGGCCCACCAAGGCGACGAUCAGUAGCCGGCCUGAGAGGGCGGCCGGCCACAUUGGGACUGAGACACGGCCCAG